RNAcentral lists this non-coding RNA (89 nucleotides) under Bacillus glycinifermentans. RNAcentral's name for it is "partial 16S ribosomal RNA". It matches the Rfam family "Bacterial small subunit ribosomal RNA", at positions 1 to 87 of the family's 1533-position model. The record is from RNAcentral. Lineage: Bacteria; Bacillati; Bacillota; Bacilli; Caryophanales; Bacillaceae.
UUCAUGGAGAGUUUGAUCCUGGCUCAGGACGAACGCUGGCGGCGUGCCUAAUACAUGCAAGUCGAGCGGACAGAUGGGAGCUUGCUCCC